AGGGAAUAUUGGACAAUGGGCGAAAGCCUGAUCCAGCCAUGCCGCGUGAUAGAUGAAGGCCCUCUGGGUUGUAAAUAUCUUUUAUCUGGGAAGAAACUCCUCUAUUCUUAGAGGCCUGACGGUACCAGAGGAAUAAGCACCGGCUAACUCCGUGCCAGCAGCCGCGGUAAUACGGAGGGUGCAAGCGUUAUCCGGAUUCACUGGGUUUAAAGGGUGCGUAGGCGGGUUGAUAAGUCAGUGGUGAAAGCUCCGGGCUUAACUUGGAAACUGCCAUUGAUACUGUCCAUCUUGAAUGUCGUAGAGGUAAGCGGAAUGUUGCAUGUAGCGGUGAAAUGCUUAGAUAUGUUACAGAACACCAAUUGCGAAGGCAGCUUACUAUGCGAUAAUUGACGCUGAGGCACGAAAGCGUGGGGAGCAAAC
This 420-nucleotide ribosomal RNA is filed under the name uncultured bacterium. Its description in RNAcentral is "bacterial SSU rRNA". It matches the Rfam family "Bacterial small subunit ribosomal RNA", at positions 356 to 773 of the family's 1533-position model. The record is from RNAcentral.